UCCACACGUACCCAUCCCGAACACGACCGUUAAGCCCUCCAGCGCCGAUGGUACUUGGACCGCAGGGUCCUGGGAGAGUAGGACGCCGCCAAGC
This 94-nucleotide ribosomal RNA is filed under the name Paenibacillus polymyxa. Lineage: Bacteria; Bacillati; Bacillota; Bacilli; Caryophanales; Paenibacillaceae. RNAcentral also lists the same sequence under 3 other names. The record is from RNAcentral.